ACAGAGGGUUUAAAUGCAAUAUACGCAGGAAUACUUCACAAGCUAGGAACGAAAAAACAGAAAAACACAGAAAAUGUAAACACACACGGAAUCACAACAAACACGGAUAAUACACAUACACACAACAUAAUCGAAACACCACUCACACAAGAUUGAAAAUGUCAAUAUCAGUCUCGAAACCGUAGAGUGCAGGUGCAAGAAAAAAGCGUAGGCAGAAAGAAAUCACAGAAGCGAUAAAAAAGAAGCUUUGUGCGAUUAAGCUGCUAUAAAGUUGCGAAACACAGUGUCGGGCGUAAAAAUCGACACACAUGCAGCACCAAAGACGCCAUUACAAACCAUCUACAGACACAAUACAGACAACCAAAUGUAGGCCACUACACAUGUUUACAAAAAUACAAACUCCUGUAAGUAGGGGAAAAUGGGGCACAUUGAGGGAAAGAAUCGGAAAUCAAUGUAUAUUCAAACACCAAAUUUUUAGAUCCCCUGAAGAAGGUUCAAUAAAGAACCGAAACGUCGGACGUAGGAGCAAAAACUGUGUUUGCUAACCACUCAGACUGCUAUUGCCGAAAAA
Molecule: long non-coding RNA, 571 nt
Organism: Aedes albopictus (Asian tiger mosquito)
Lineage: Eukaryota; Metazoa; Arthropoda; Insecta; Diptera; Culicidae
Exons: 2
Source: RefSeq, a predicted model, not a curated record